This is a non-coding RNA of Vicia faba (fava bean), 229 nucleotides long. The record is from the annotation of a GenBank genome assembly. Lineage: Eukaryota; Viridiplantae; Streptophyta; Magnoliopsida; Fabales; Fabaceae.
UUCUCUAUUUUCGGUGGUCACGAAAUCCGGGCGCUUGGAAGGUUGCGAUUUCAGAUUGGUAGAGGCGUGGGCAGAAACAAAAUUCAGAUUUUAUCUCCUCUUAAAAUACGAUCCUCUUUCUUUUUCUUUUCUAAUCUUUUGCUCCUUCUUCUUUCUCUAUUUUAGGUGGUCACGAAAUUUGGGCGCUUGCGCUUGGAAGGUUGCGAUUUUAGAUUGCUGGAGGCAUGGG